GAUGAACGCUAGCGACAGGCCUAACACAUGCAAGUCGAGGGGCAGCACAAGGUAGCAAUACUGAGGUGGCGACCGGCGCACGGGUGAGUAACGCGUAUGCAACCUGCCUGUAACAGGGGAAUAGCCUCUUGAAAGAGAGAUUAAUGCCGCAUAAUACGAGAUUCGGGCAUCCGGAUUUAGUUAAACAUUUAUGGGUUACAGAUGGGCAUGCGUUUCAUUAGGUAGUUGGUGAGGUAACGGCUCACCAAGCCGACGAUGAAUAGGGGUUCUGAGAGGAAGGUCCCCCACACUGGUACUGAGACACGGACCAGACUCCUACGGGAGGCAGCAGUGAGGAAUAUUGGUCAAUGGACGCAAGUCUGAACCAGCCAAGUCGCGUGAAGGAUGAAGGUAUUAUGUAUUGUAAACUUCUUUUGUCAGGGAAUAAUGGGUGUCACGUGUGACGCAGANGAAUGUACCUGACGAA
RNAcentral lists this ribosomal RNA (466 nucleotides) under uncultured prokaryote. RNAcentral's name for it is "bacterial SSU rRNA". It matches the Rfam family "Bacterial small subunit ribosomal RNA", at positions 28 to 486 of the family's 1533-position model. The record is from RNAcentral.